This is a long non-coding RNA of Oncorhynchus keta (chum salmon), 1919 nucleotides long. RefSeq lists it as uncharacterized. The record is from RefSeq and is a predicted model, not a curated record. NCBI's taxonomy places the organism in Eukaryota, Metazoa, Chordata, Actinopteri, Salmoniformes, Salmonidae. The transcript has 9 exons.
GGCAGGGAGGGAGCAGCAGGUCUCGAAUCCUCGACCAUCGAGCCGGAGGUCCGGUGCGCUAUCGUUUGUGCAGCAAAAGCGUGCUCGUGCGGCACAAUCGAUUUCCGCGCUUAUAAACCCAGGGUCGUUACAAUAUCAAGACAAAUAGGUAGCAAAAAAUUAGCUAGAAAGCUAGCCAGUUAUGUUCACAGCAAUUAACAGAAUAAGUUUGGGACAAUUGGUAUGUAAAACUCCAGUGUUGACAGCCAUUUAUUCUACCGUGUCAGAUUGCCACCAACGUCUAGUUGGCUAGUCUGACUGAAGUCUGUCUGAGCCCUGUCUGGUACGGAGGUUUCAGAGUACUCUGGUAAUAGCAGAGCACAACAACAACCAGCUCAAAGCCAUCGCACUGUGUUCAUUACUGCUGCCAGCAAGGUGGGAGGAGAGGUCACCUGCCUGGUGGCUGGAACCAACUGUGCCAAGAAUCAGGUGUGUUUCAGGAAGACUUGCGCAAUAGCCCAGCUCUGCUGGAGGAUGGUUGGCUACUCCUGCGAUAACAGCUGUUCAGUCACACAUCAAUGGAAGUUAGGUUUUAAUGUGGUAUUUCAUACGUAUGUCACACUUGUGCAGUACAAUGUAGCUAUUUCAUGAUAUACAGCUGGCUGAUAUGGUUAACUGUUUAUUUCUGUGUUGGAUUCUUCUUUAGCAGGUUGCAGACCAGAUCAGUAAAGUCCAGGGGGUCAAGAAGAUUCUAGUGGCUCAACAUGACUGCUACAAAGGACUGUUACCAUUCUGGGAUGGGAUAGUUUUGUUACGUUCUGAGAGGAAUUGACUCCUUUGAUUCUUGCUUCCCAGAAGCAGUUCAACUUCACACACAUCUGUGCAGGAGCUUCUGCUUUUGGGAAGGUAAUUCCCUGGCCACAGUGAAGUGCAAUGAGAAAGUCAAGGUGUUCACAGUGAGGGGAACUUCCUUUGAACCUGCUGCUGUGGAGGGAGGCAGUGCUGCUACUGAACAGGUUGCCUCACCCUCUCCUGUGGGGAUGUCAGAAUGACUUAAGCAGAGCCUGACCAAGAGCGAUUGACCAGAGCUCACAAGUGCCAAAGUGGUAGUGUCCGCAGGACGAGGGCUGAAGAGUGGUGAGAACAUCAAACUGCUGUACGACCUCGCUGACAAAAUGGUGCUGCAGUGGGGGCCUCCAGAGCUGCUGUGGAUGCUGGCUAUGUCCCCAAUGACAUGCAGGUCGGCCAGACUGGCAAGAUUGUAGCACCUGAACUCUACAUCGCAGUGGGCAUCUCUGGAGCUAUUCAGCACCUGGCUGGGAUGAAGAACAGCAAGGCACACAACAUCACACACAUCAAACUAAGGAGUCUAAAUAAGCUAGUGGUAUUAUUGUGGUAUAUCUGUGUUAUUACUUGUGGAUAAUACUUUUCAUUUAAACAAAUGUAAAUAGAUUUGUUCUACUGAUGAAAAAAUAUAUAUAUAUUUAUAUAUUUGAGGAUGCAAGAUGUUCUGAAUUUUUCUAGUACUUUCUAAUACAGGAUGUGUUUUAUACAGCAAGAUAUUUUUGAAGCAAGUUGUGCUUUUUAAAACAUUGUUUUUUGCUGAUUCUUGCUGUCGCAAGUCAUGCACAAGUACGUAUAGUUAUAGGGCUUGUGCGUCUGAUUUCUAAAUUAACUGUGGUGUUGAUUUAUUUGAUUAAAUUCUUCUGAGCUCUUUGUGAUGUAGCGCCUUGUCACCAGGAGAGUGAUAAAUACGUCUCACCCUCAUGUUUAUCACAAUUUCAUGUAGCUAAGCUUAUUCUACCGCCUUUUAUGGAAUUUGCACUAGUGAUGGAUUAACAAGUAAAGAUAUACAUACAGUAAAACAAUGGGGAUACUGAUUAAAUGUCAUAUUGAUUUAAAAUAAAUUGUAUUAAUGUUAAAAAAGUGUUAAUUAAUAA